Oncorhynchus tshawytscha (Chinook salmon) is the source of this 728-nucleotide long non-coding RNA. RefSeq lists it as uncharacterized. The transcript has 2 exons. The record is from RefSeq and is a predicted model, not a curated record. NCBI's taxonomy places the organism in Eukaryota, Metazoa, Chordata, Actinopteri, Salmoniformes, Salmonidae.
GUGUGUGUGUAUCUGUCUGUCUGUCUGUCUGUCUGUCUGUCUGUCUGUCUGUCUGUCUGUCUGUCUGUCUGUCUGUCUGUCUGUCUGUCUGUCUGUCUGUCUGUCUGUCUGUCUGUCUGAUGAGAAACAGCUGGUGGGUAAAGCUCCCUGCUCUGGGUGAUCCAUGCUGCAUGCCUUGUCACUGCGAUAACUGAGGCCAUUUUUCUUCUCUAAAGAUGAGGUUGGUGCUAGGUCAGCUAAUGUUGGUUAAUGCUGCUUCCAUACAGGCCAUGUUAACGAGGAUUUGCUAUGUGCUAGAUUAUCACAAGAUAUUUUCUAAUCAGACAGACACACAUGCACAGGUGAAUAUCACUCCAUAGACAGUCAACAUGCACAGUUGAACAUCACUCCAUAGACAGUCAACAUGCACAGGUGAAUAUCACAGCUGAAUAUCACUCCAUAGACAGUCAACAUGCACAGGUGAAUAUCACAGCUGAAUAUCACUCCAUAGACAGUCAACAUGCACAGGUGAAUAUCACAGCUGAAUAUCACUCCAUAGACAGUCAACAUGCACAGCUGAAUAUCACUCCAUAGACAGUCAACAUGCACAGCUGAAUAUCACUCCAUAGACAGUCAACAUGCACAGCUGAAUAUCACUCCACAGACAGUCAACAUGCACAGCUGAAUAUCACUCCAUAGACAGUCAACAUGCACAGCUAAAUAUCACUCCAUAGCUGAAUAUCACUCCA